Molecule: long non-coding RNA, 1221 nt
Organism: Ailuropoda melanoleuca (giant panda)
Lineage: Eukaryota; Metazoa; Chordata; Mammalia; Carnivora; Ursidae
Exons: 3
Source: RefSeq, a predicted model, not a curated record
UCGUUUUACAUGAGAGGAAACUAGUCACAGUGGGUUAAAAAAAAAAAAUCAGGAGCCACCUGUAAAUUAGCAAGGGAUCAUUUGGUGUUUACAAAUUCUGCCCCCACAAAAAAUACUGAAAUGCAAAGAAAGGAUGGACCCCAAAGUUUAAAGGUAGGGAGUCUAAUCCCCCUAGAUCUUCAACACACUGCUUAGGACUUGCUCUGUCCCAGAACAUGUCCCCAUGCAAGGGGGAUGGAGUUCACCAUGGAGAGGGAAUGACAUUCCUUAAGAUCUGUUCCUAGGGAGGAAAAUACAUAAACAGUCAAACCUUAUGACUCACCCAAAUGAGGAUCCCUUUCCUUAUACUGUCUUCAGUGAAUCUUAACACCUUAAAGAAUCAUGUGUUUACAUCAAACUUCUGUCUGGUGAGUAACAAUUCCUGCUUAUUGGUUCCUUUUUCAGAAUUCGGCCACACCCAGGGGAUAAGGAAGGCUCUCCAAGCUCAUCAUCUCUAAUAUUUUAAUAUAGUAUAUGAUAUAUAAAUUAAUAUAUUAAUGAUAUAUUAAUAUAUUUCAGGAGAGGGGCCCAUUGAGUGAGAGCUGCUCUAACUGCAAGUCUCUCAGCCCCCAUCCUCUCCCAGGCUCCAGGAUGGUGGUUCUGAGGAUCGCUGGGGUCCCAGGGAUGGCAGCUCUCGUGAUGUCCUUGGUGAUGCUGAGCUCCCCUUUGGUUCAGAGCAGAGACACCCCAGGUCCAAGAUAUGUGCUCCUAGGAAACUGAAGAUACAGAGACCAAGGAAAGGCCCUGGAGUCAAAAAGAAGGCACCAGAAAUGUCUAACACACACAGGCUGCCUCCUCUUUUGCACUGUGUCCCUGGUACCAGCACUGGAAUGACUCACAGGAGCCCCUGCACCUGGGGAUGCUGUCGGGCCACCUGGUCUUCAGGACAGCGAUGCCAGUGAGGAUGCCUGCCACACCUGCCACCAGGCCCAGGACACAGACCACAGUCCCUUUCAUCUCAGGCACUUGGAUCAGCUCCUGAGCCUCUGAGGCACAAAGGAAAGACAGAGUUAAAAGGCGCAGAGAGCAAGAGCUGGCCUCAGGUGUAGGAGUAUGAAGAGUUAAAAAUUGUGAGAUCACCAGUGAAGUUUGGAUAAAGUGACAAUAAGACACAUGAGAUUAAGGAAAGCAGGUGCUGCUGAGAGAUGGAUCCUGGAAAUAAAGAUGGUGUCAGGACAGCAC